RNAcentral lists this long non-coding RNA (1049 nucleotides) under Junco hyemalis (dark-eyed junco). Its description in RNAcentral is "lncRNA (ENSJHYG00000015869.1)". Lineage: Eukaryota; Metazoa; Chordata; Aves; Passeriformes; Passerellidae. The record is from RNAcentral.
GGGAGGUGUUAAUUGCUGUGCUAAUUACAACAUGAUUGCUUUGCACUUGUUUUGCACUUGCAGGUGAUUAAAUUUUUAACGAAGCAUAUUACUUGGCACUGUUAGCAUAGUUAACACAUUUCUCUCUCUCUCUCUCCCUCUCUCUCUCUUCCUCUCCCCCUCCUUUUUCUAUGCCUUGGGAGAAGUCCUGUGCUGCAGACCCUUGGCUGGCUGCGAUGUGCUGUUGUGCUUGGAACGAGCCCCUGUUUGGGCUGUGGGUGGCGGAACCCCGGGAUCCUCCUCGGAAAGAGCAGCAGCCCGAGUUAUCAUCAGGCUCAGCGUGGCGGCGCCGGCCAGAUGCGAAUGCAGAACCCACCAAGGCCUUCACCUUUCCCGUCACGUUGGCCAUGUGGCCCUGCAGCGGGUCUGUCACACAGGAGUGAACGCGAAGGAUGGGAGAGGACCCUGUGUGCCUGGAGGCUUGUCCCUGCAAAGCUAAAAUGUGUGUGAAUGUGUGUGUGCCCCCUCCAUGGCAGGGGCUGAAGAGGUGAGGAGCAAGUGGGUGGUGUCUGUGAAGUCCUGGGGACUCCAGCAAAACGUCUUCAAUUGCAGGACUGGUUUUUGCUUGGCUUUUCUGUGCCAGCCUUAAAAGAUGUGAAUUGAUAUCACUUUUAACUGGCAGGUUUCAUUAUCUGCAAUUUCAUUAAAAGUGAUACCUGCAGAAUGACCGCUGUUUUAUUUUUUGCUUUAAUGGGUUCAAUUCUAUCUGCAGCAAACCUUGCCAUUCUCCACCCCCCCCCCACACUUUCCAAACUUCAUAUUCUAGUCUAUUACUCACUGUCUGUCUGGCCCCUAUCGCAUUUGACUGCAGAUGUCAUAACAGAAAAGAGAUGAACAGGCAGCUCUUACUUCCUGAUAAAUUAAUGUGCUGCAGUCUAAUCCAUAUCCCAAAUGAUAAAGUUAACAACAGUUUGCAAGCCUGUCACAUAAUCUAAAAAAUUCAGAUGGAUAUUUUUGCCCCUUGUGUGGGAGGAAAAACCUGUUUCAGGGAUGAACAGUUACUAAUACAU